Molecule: small RNA, 74 nt
Filed under: Xanthomonas campestris
Lineage: Bacteria; Pseudomonadati; Pseudomonadota; Gammaproteobacteria; Lysobacterales; Lysobacteraceae
Description: sX9 sRNA
Rfam family: Xanthomonas sRNA sX9
Source: RNAcentral
AUGUACCACGUACGCUCCGGUUCCUCCGCGCCAUCCGCACCCACCCGACGACUGCUCGCUACGUUUUGUUAGCC